UUACAUUUAGCCACGUUUUUGGAGUUUAUUCAGAUGCACACUCAGAAUUCAUUGAGCCAAAUAUUUCCAGUUUGCACGCAGCUCUAUAGGCACUUUGGAACUUGCAUUAGACUUUCCAAGUGUUGCUGUUCUCAUUAAAGAGAGUCUGGCUAGAAACUGUAGAAACUAUCUUCUUAAAAGAAUUCCCCAGCAUGCGCUGGGUGUAAUGAAAUUCUCUGCUAAAAACAUUCUGAAAUCUCAUCGCAUUUUCUCCAUAAAUCAUGGUUUAUCAAAUUUUCAUUACUAGUGUAUUUGCAAAAUCAAUAAAAUACUCUGUUGGAAACCUGUGAUAAAAUCUUUACCAUAAUUUUAACUGUUAUUUUAUGCAGCAAUGAUUUGCUAAAUAAAAACUUGACAUUCUCUAUGAGCAUCUAUUAAUCACCAUAGAUUUCACUAUGGAAAUAUAUCUAAAUUUCACUUAGAUUUCACUAAGGAAAUCUGGCUCAGUCACAGGAGGUAGACAAUUGACUAUUUAUAUUAAUUAUGUUAAUAGUAUUUAUUAAUUGAUUAUAUAGCUUCAAUGAGGGUGUGAAGAUUCAAAGAUUAAUGUUGUAUAGUUAAGGGGCAUUGCAUGUACUCAGCAAGUGGAGAACUAUAGUUGUUGAGCAUGUGAAUUAA
This 657-nucleotide long non-coding RNA is filed under the name Bos taurus (domestic cattle). Its description in RNAcentral is "long non-coding RNA NONBTAT010629". The record is from RNAcentral. Lineage: Eukaryota; Metazoa; Chordata; Mammalia; Artiodactyla; Bovidae.